UACAGAGGGUGCGAGCGUUAAUCGGAAUUACUGGGCGUAAAGAGCGUGUAGGCGGCCAGACAGGUCCGUUGUGAAAACUAGAGGCUUAACCUCUAGACGUCGAUGGAAACCGUCUGGCUAGAGUCCGGAAGAGGAGAAUGGAAUUCCUGGUGUAGCGGUGAAAUGCGCAGAUAUCAGGAAGAACACCCGUGGCUAAGGCGGCUAUCUGGCCCGUAAUUGACGCUGAGGCGCGAAAGCGUGGGGAGCAAACAGG
This 253-nucleotide ribosomal RNA is filed under the name uncultured bacterium. RNAcentral describes it as "partial 16S ribosomal RNA". It matches the Rfam family "Bacterial small subunit ribosomal RNA", at positions 524 to 776 of the family's 1533-position model. The record is from RNAcentral.